Long non-coding RNA from Aethalodelphis obliquidens (Pacific white-sided dolphin), 1032 nucleotides. RefSeq lists it as uncharacterized. The transcript has 2 exons. NCBI's taxonomy places the organism in Eukaryota, Metazoa, Chordata, Mammalia, Artiodactyla, Delphinidae. The record is from RefSeq and is a predicted model, not a curated record.
CAGGGGUGAGGUGGUUCUCGGCUGUGUGGAGAGCUUGGAGCUCCAGUUGGGGCCCACUUUUCUGCUCUGGCGCUCUCGGACGUUUCAAACUUGGGACUUCUUUGUGGUCCUCCGCGUCGGUCAGACUCGGGUCCAGGGACCACCUGCUUUAAGGCUCGUCUGCACACUUUCUGCAGAUCCUCAGCCCCUCUUCCCCUUCUCAGAGGUGGGUGGGUGGGACUGAAAGUGCCAAGCUUCUAAUCUCUUGGUCUUUCUGGUGACCAGCCUUAUUCUGAGUCUAUCUAAGGGCACCACCCUAAGUUACCUCAUUAGGAUAAGAGCAAGGAUAAGGAUAAGAUAAGGAUGUGACUGACAAACCACACUCCUAUCACUAUGAAAUCCCAAGAGUUUGAGGAGCUUUGUGCCAGGAACCAGGGACAAAGACCACAUAUAUCUAUUAUACCACCCUCACUUAACAUUAGCAAAUCCAUCAGGGCAUGCCCAGGCAUGAGUUGGCUGGAGCUUGGUUUAGCAGAGAUAAAAGUUUACAGUCAUACUCCUUCAGGAAAGAGUCUCACCCAGUGACCAGUUCCAAGGUCCAGCCUGACUCUUAGGCAAGAAUGAAGCAUAUUUCAUUUGAGCCCAUAGAUAUUUGAAAACUUUGAAACUCAGAAGAAAUCUCCCUUUCAUGGAACAUGAGGUGAGAAAGAGACUAUAUUUCACCACUUAAAAUAGCAUGCCUGUACUUCUCUGGUGGUGCAGUGGUUAAGGAUUCACCUGCCAAUGCAGGGGACACAGGUUUGAGCCCUGGUCUGAGAAGAUCCCACAUGCCAUGGAGCAAUUAAGCCAUGUAGAUCUGGACUAUGUAUCUUUGGUGAACUUUAUGUAACUUGUCACCGUGUCAUUUUGAUGAAUGAUCCUUUGUCUUGAAAAUGUGUAUAACUGUAUCACUGACCUCUAACAAGCAGAACAGUCCUCAGAAUUUUCUGAAAGACUGUCUCCCGGGUUAUAAUCCUUAUGUUGGCCUGAAUAAAAUUCUCUUUUUCUUCUUUA